AUGGUGUGUGUGAAAUCAGUGAAAUAUUCGGUCAAAUUCAAUGGACAAUUGCUUGAGAGUUUCAUUCCCUCUAGAGGAUUAAGGCAAGGUGAUCCUUUAUUGCCGUUCUUAUUUCUUUUUGUUGCUGAUGCCCUUUCUGCUAUGUUAUCUAAAUCAGUUGAGGAAGGCUCGCUAAAGGGGGUGGCUAUAUGUCGUGGUGCACCGGUUAUCUCCCACCUGUUAUUUGUAGAUGAUACUAUGGUGCUUUUUGAGGUGUCUGGCGAGCAAGCGAGCAUUGUUAAGGGGUUGCUGAACACUUAUAGUUCUGCGACGGGUCAACUUAUUAACCCAGAAAAGUGUUCCAUCCUUUUUUCUGACAAUUGCUCUGAUGCGGUGGCGGAUGAAGUCAAAAGUACCCUCGAGGUUACGCAACAGGUGUUUGAGCCAAAGUACCUCGGCCUUCCGGUGCCAGAGGGAAGAGUGCAUAAGGGACAAUUUGAAUCUCUUCGGGAGAGGUUGAGGAAGAGAUUAAUUGAUUGGAGUGAACACUUUGUCUCGUCGGGGAACAAAGAAAUUUUGAUCAAGGUAGUGGCGCAAGCUAUACCUACAUAUGUCAUGAGUGUGUUUCGGCUACCGGCACUUGUUUGCGAUGAUUUAACGCGUAUGAUGAGGCAAUACUGGUGGGGAGUGGAGAAUGGUAAAAGGAAAAUGGCGUGGCUCAGUUGGGAGAAAAUGAUCUUGCCCAAGGAUAUGGGAGGAAUGGGUUUUAGAGAUAUGAGAUCCUUCAAUAAGGCGCUACUCGCGAAGCAAGCCUGGAGAUUGCGUGAUAGUCCGGAUAGUUUAUGCGCCCGGUUACCCCGGGCCAAAUAUUACCCCAAAGGUAACUUGCUUGAUACAGUCUUUCCUUCUAGUUUGUCGGCUGUGUGGAAGGGCAUCAUGCAUGGGCUUGAUUUGUUG
This 936-nucleotide ribosomal RNA is filed under the name Triticum aestivum (bread wheat). RNAcentral's name for it is "partial small subunit ribosomal RNA". The record is from RNAcentral. Lineage: Eukaryota; Viridiplantae; Streptophyta; Magnoliopsida; Poales; Poaceae.